RNAcentral lists this small RNA (935 nucleotides) under Vigna angularis var. angularis. Its description in RNAcentral is "Non-protein coding transcript". The record is from RNAcentral. Lineage: Eukaryota; Viridiplantae; Streptophyta; Magnoliopsida; Fabales; Fabaceae.
UUCACAGAUUCCUCUCUCUCUAGAACAGAAACCUUGCCCUAACUCAAGUGCUCUGACUUCUCUCUAGGUUUCCAGCCAUUUCCACCGAUUGAAUCCUAAUUUGGUGGUGUUUUCUUGUUCCUGGAGUCAAGAGCUACGAAACCAUCCGAUUGGUUUUGCGUUCCAGCGGGUUCUGUACAGUUUCGCACGGUGUUGGGGGUACUGUUAGAGCAUCUGAACCCUCUCCGGUGACCAAUUGGGUAGCGAUGUGAAGUGGAGAACAAGUAUUUUGUGGGGCUCAGCCUUGGGAGUCAUUCUGACGCUCCAAUGGUCAAUCAUACUCACUUAGAGAAGUUGAACCAUGUGGUGAGGAGUAGCAGGAGGUCCUUAGUCUUGGGGGCUCCCAGUAUACCUCAAGGCGCAGAACGGACUAAUCUCGUGAGUGUGACAGGGUGGGGAAUCCAAGUUUCAUAAGUCACCACGGGUGCAAGACUCGCCAUAGCCCGACUAUCAUUUUAAAGUCCGGACGAGUCAAGUCUAGAAAUUAACAUGCUUAGGUUGUAUUUCUGAAAUUAUUUGGUGUGAGUUAUUUCUUGUAUGUAUAUGCUUAAAUUGAGUUGCAUGAUUUUAUAUAAUUAGCUCACCCUUACUUGUUUGUGUUUGUGUUUGUUGCAUGCUUUUUCUUUUGCAAUGAUCAUCCACUUGGAUGUGAGCAGAGGAGAAUGAAGCCUCAGUGGAGAAUGUCCUGGAGGGGAAUGAGGAAGCAACUUCUUAGUCUCUCUAGGAAUUCCAUAGCUUUCCAUGUAUCUGAACAAUUCCAGUUCUUGUAUUUUGAAGUACUUUAGUAUUCCACGUUUUAAAAAUUUCUUCUACAUUCCGGAUUACUGUAAUCCUUAAAUUUUAAUUUCUUAGAACCUUAUUUGCUAUUUUAUUAUUCUAACUGUUUUCUAUUGUCA